Non-coding RNA from Chiloscyllium plagiosum (whitespotted bambooshark), 596 nucleotides. The record is from RefSeq and is a predicted model, not a curated record. Lineage: Eukaryota; Metazoa; Chordata; Chondrichthyes; Orectolobiformes; Hemiscylliidae.
UAGCUUUCAGAGCUCCUGCUGCAACCACCUGAUGAAGGAACAAUGCUCUGAAAGCUAGUGCUCCCAAAUAAACCAAAUUUUAUAGACUGACAUGUUUCUGGGAUUCAACUUCAGGGUACUGUAUUUAAAUGGCAGGCAAACUGCACUCAGUUUCUGCAACCCAGGAGUGUCACUCAACCUCUGCUCAUAACCACUAAGCAACCGGAGGACAUCAGAGACUGGGCAAAACAAAGGCACCACAGUUCAGCAGUGCCUCAGCAGAGGAUCUCAGAGGACAAGCCAAUUCCUAAAAUAGCUGGACUAUCUGAAGGAUGUGGCUGCAAAGGAUAAAUGAUUUGCUGCAUUCUUCUAAAGAGAUGAUCAUGUGUAAUAUGUAUGAACAUGCCUAGAGAGAUGGACAGAUGUAUAAAAUUCAGAUCUUCAACUCCUUCAAGGAGCAUGCUGCUGGGCUGGAAAGAGAGUAUGAGGAAUAUGCAUGUGCUGAAGUAGGAUUUGAUAGCUGAGCCAUUUUAAAAAAAAAACUCAAAACUGCUGCUCCCUGUACAUCAAGCAUCAACACCUUAAUAAAAACUUGGUCAAGUGUGGCACAAAUCCAA